RNAcentral lists this ribosomal RNA (338 nucleotides) under uncultured bacterium. RNAcentral's name for it is "partial 16S ribosomal RNA". It matches the Rfam family "Bacterial small subunit ribosomal RNA", at positions 338 to 668 of the family's 1533-position model. The record is from RNAcentral.
GCUACGGGUGGCAGCAGUAGGGAAUCUUCCACAAUGGGCGAAAGCCUGAUGGAGCAACGCCGCGUGGGUGAAGAAGGUCUUCGGAUCGUAAAACCCUGUUGUUAGAGAAGAAAGUGCGUGAGAGUAACUGUUCACGUUUCGACGGUAUCUAACCAGAAAGCCACGGAUAACUACGUGCCAGCAGCCGCGGUAAUACGUAGGUGAAAAGCGUUAUCCGGAUUUAUUGGGCGUAAAGGGAACGGAGACGGUCUUUUAAGUCUGAUGUUAAAGUCUUCGGCUUAACCGGAGUAGUGCAUUGGAUACUGGCAGCCUUGAGUGCAGAAGAGGUGGGCGGAACU